Long non-coding RNA from Vidua chalybeata, 1622 nucleotides. RefSeq lists it as uncharacterized. NCBI's taxonomy places the organism in Eukaryota, Metazoa, Chordata, Aves, Passeriformes, Viduidae. The transcript is spliced from 5 exons. The record is from RefSeq and is a predicted model, not a curated record.
CACAGUGGUUGGUGCUGCAGCUGGCUGGCUUCAGGCUAGGUCAUGUAUGGCAGCACUGCAGCAUGGCAGUGGCUGCUCUAGGAGCCUUACCAACCACUCUGUAGAGAAACCCAGAGUUGUUUGAGAAAAGGAGGAAAAAGUGUUAGUUUUAUAUUGUAACUUAAUGUUUGGUACCACCAAAAUCAAUGGAGAGAUUGGAUAAUCUGACCCCAGUUUAUUUCCCUUUUGCUACAUUGUGUAAAGAAUGAGUACAGGACACACUUCAAGAGUACAUCUGUUGUUUGUUUUGGUGUUUUUUAAUCUGGUAAAUAAUGAAAUUUUUCUGGAUUGCGCUUCCAUUUUAUUUAGCUGAAAAAUUCAAACAACCAUUCAACAGAAGAAUUUCUUCAUGUUUUAUUACUUUUUUUCCCUUGGCUUGGAAAAGUUGUAUGGAUCCUUCUUUCAAUACAUAGCUGAUGGAUUGUAGAAUUUCACUGAACUUGCUACAUACACAGGCAGUCCAGGAAGUUAAGAGGAAUUGGGUUAAAACAACAGACAAGCAGAUGCAUGAACUUCAACUUCUAUAAAAAAUGUAAACAAAGCAAAGGGUAUACAAAGGAUGCCAAAGAAGACACACUGGAGCUCCGAUUUGAGUACAAUGACUCAGGCACAUGAAACUGGAUCAUUCUGUACACAAAACAGUAGCUGCAUGAAGAAAAUUGUAUCAGAACAGAUGAUGAAGGCAGCCAAAGGCCAAGAAAUGGUGAGCAGUUUUUCCCCGCUUCACUUGCUUGCUUCAUCUGCUGCCAUGUUAGACCAAAUGAGAUCCGUGACAUUCACAUGGAGAAAAUUUUUUAUUUUAAAAAGAAGUGUUAAUAAACUAAAAGUCUGAUUUGUAGCUAAAAUACUUCUAUCUUUUGUGUGGGCCUUUCGGGAUGGAAGUAUGUUUAGAUAUUUGAAAUUUAAAAAAUAAUUUCCAGCAUUAGAAAUGUCUUUAUUUAACCUUGUGAUAUCUAAAGACUUUGUCUACCAACUGAAAAUGUCUGAAGAGGAAAAAAGAAAGGACCGUGUUUAAUCUUCUAGGCCCAUGCUGAUUAGAGUGAGCAGCGAGGCAAUGCAUGUUAUUUCAUAGCUUUAAACUGUAACUGAUGCAGAAGAAAAGACCAAUUUUAAUCUUGGGAAAGAUUGGAUCUCUUUAUUUCUAAAUUUAUUUGUAACGGAAGCAAACUUUUAAUUAUGAAGAUUAGCAUUCACUAUGUAACUAAUCAGCUGUGGAUAGUAGCUUGUACUAAAACAGAGAAUUAUGAGAGAAGGGCCACUCUGCCAGUUCAUUUCUUAUACUGUUGCUGCUGGGUAUAACUCAAUACUGAUUUGCUCAGCAGUACUUAGAAGAGCAUUUCAGCUUAUUCUCAAUUUGCAUUCGUCAAUCUGUUCUGGAGAUCAAGAUGCCUGAAUAGAUGAAAACCAGUAAGAAAUACAGCAUCCAAAAAAAAGAUAUUAGUGAGUGAGAAGUUGAGUCCAAAAUGUAAAUACAGUGUGUUCUUGCUUGUGUUGUUUAGCCCAACCACUGUUUUUCUGGUUAGGUAAACUUCUAAAAAAUUUAGUAAGAACUUCUUCAGGUAGGAAAAGGAGGAAAAGUUAAA